UACAGAGGUCUCAAGCGUUGUUCGGAUUCAUUGGGCGUAAAGGGUGCGUAGGUGGCGCUGUAAGUCAGGUGUGAAAUUUCGGAGCUUAACUCCGAAACUGCAUUUGAUACUGCGGUGCUUGAGGACUGGAGAGGAGACUGGAAUUUACGGUGUAGCAGUGAAAUGCGUAGAUAUCGUAAGGAAGACCAGUGGCGAAGGCGGGUCUCUGGACAGUUCCUGACACUGAGACACGAAGGCCAGGGGAGCAAACGGG
This 253-nucleotide ribosomal RNA is filed under the name uncultured bacterium. RNAcentral describes it as "partial 16S ribosomal RNA". It matches the Rfam family "Bacterial small subunit ribosomal RNA", at positions 524 to 776 of the family's 1533-position model. The record is from RNAcentral.